AACGAACGCUGGCGGAAUGCUUUACACAUGCAAGUCGAGCGGCAGCGCGGGGGCAACCCUGGCGGCGAGCGGCGAACGGGUGAGUAAUGUAUCGGAACGUACCCAGUCGUGGGGGAUAACUAUCCGAAAGGAUAGCUAAUACCGCAUACGUCCUGAGAGAGAAAGCGGGGGACCGUAAGGCCUCGCGCGAUUGGAGCGGCCGAUAUCGGAUUAGCUAGUUGGUGAGGUAAAGGCUCACCAAGGCGACGAUCCGUAGCUGGUCUGAGAGGACGACCAGCCACACUGGAACUGAGACACGGUCCAGACUCCUACGGGAGGCAGCAGUGGGGAAUUUUGGGACAAUGGGGGCAACCCUGAUCCAGCCAUUCCGCGUGAGUG
RNAcentral lists this ribosomal RNA (378 nucleotides) under uncultured bacterium. RNAcentral's name for it is "bacterial SSU rRNA". It matches the Rfam family "Bacterial small subunit ribosomal RNA", at positions 29 to 407 of the family's 1533-position model. The record is from RNAcentral.